This 1034-nucleotide ribosomal RNA is filed under the name uncultured bacterium. RNAcentral's name for it is "bacterial SSU rRNA". It matches the Rfam family "Bacterial small subunit ribosomal RNA", at positions 359 to 1397 of the family's 1533-position model. The record is from RNAcentral.
AAAUUGGGUCAAUGGGCGCAGGCCUGAACCAGCCAAGUAGCGUGAAGGAUGACUGCCCUAUGGGUUGUAAACUUCUUUUAUAUGGGAAUAAAGUUUUCCACGUGUGGAAUUUUGUAUGUACCAUAUGAAUAAGGAUCGGCUAACUCCGUGCCAGCAGCCGCGGUAAUACGGAGGAUCCGAGCGUUAUCCGGAUUUAUUGGGUUUAAAGGGAGCGUAGGUGGACAGUUAAGUCAGUUGUGAAAGUUUGCGGCUCAACCGUAAAAUUGCAGUUGAUACUGGCUGUCUUGAGUACAGUAGAGGUGGGCGGAAUUCGUGGUGUAGCGGUGAAAUGCUUAGAUAUCACGAAGAACUCCGAUUGCGAAGGCAGCUCACUGGACUGCAACUGACACUGAUGCUCGAAAGUGUGGGUAUCAAACAGGAUUAGAUACCCUGGUAGUCCACACAGUAAACGAUGAAUACUCGCUGUUUGCGAUAUACAGUAAGCGGCCAAGCGAAAGCAUUAAGUAUUCCACCUGGGGAGUACGCCGGCAACGGUGAAACUCAAAGGAAUUGACGGGGGCCCGCACAAGCGGAGGAACAUGUGGUUUAAUUCGAUGAUACGCGAGGAACCUUACCCGGGCUUAAAUUGCAUUUGAAUAUAUUGGAAACAGUAUAGCCGUAAGGCAAAUGUGAAGGUGCUGCAUGGUUGUCGUCAGCUCGUGCCGUGAGGUGUCGGCUUAAGUGCCAUAACGAGCGCAACCCUUAUCUUUAGUUACUAACAGGUCAUGCUGAGGACUCUAGAGAGACUGCCGUCGUAAGAUGUGAGGAAGGUGGGGAUGACGUCAAAUCAGCACGGCCCUUACGUCCGGGGCUACACACGUGUUACAAUGGGGGGUACAGAAGGCAGCUACCUGGUGACAGGAUGCUAAUCCCAAAAGCCUCUCUCAGUUCGGAUCGAAGUCUGCAACCCGACUUCGUGAAGCUGGAUUCGCUAGUAAUCGCGCAUCAGCCAUGGCGCGGUGAAUACGUUCCCGGGCCUUGUACUCACCGCCCGU